Molecule: ribosomal RNA, 253 nt
Filed under: uncultured bacterium
Lineage: Bacteria
Description: partial 16S ribosomal RNA
Rfam family: Bacterial small subunit ribosomal RNA
Source: RNAcentral
UACAGGGGGUGCAAACGUUGCUCGGAAUCAUUGGGCGUAAAGCGCACGUAGGCGGUUUGUUAUGUCGGAUGUGAAAGCCCUUGGCUCAACUAAGGAAGUGCAUCCGAAACUGGCAAGCUGGAGUACUAAAGAGGGUCGCGGAAUUCCCGGUGUAGAGGUGAAAUUCGUAGAUAUCGGGAGGAACACCGGUGGCGAAGGCGGCGACCUGGGUAGAUACUGACGCUGAGGAGCGAAAGCGUGGGGAGCGAACAGG